RNAcentral lists this long non-coding RNA (2418 nucleotides) under Anneissia japonica. RNAcentral's name for it is "uncharacterized LOC117101434". Lineage: Eukaryota; Metazoa; Echinodermata; Crinoidea; Comatulida; Comatulidae. The record is from RNAcentral.
CACCAAGCUAUUCAACUCCACUGUAGGACAGUGAUAUAUAUUUGCUAUUGGCAAUCCUUGGCACAUGUGUUGUGUGCCUAAAGAAAGAAUAAUAAUGAUAUCAAAAAACAAUACCGUACAUAAGAGAAAUACCAAAUUUUUAGUAUUCAUUUUAUUUGCUGUAUUUGUUAUGUAGAAGGAAGCGUAGAAUCGAUAACAAAACGAAAAUAAAAGCCGUCCGAUAAAAGAGUAAAAUGGUACUAGGAAUGCUACAAACUAUAAAAUAACCUAUAAAUACCAUAAUAUUAAUUGAAAUUUAGUUUAGUAAUAAUAGUACUCAUUUUAUUUGCUUGUACUAUAUGUUGUUACUUAGUAGAAAGACUACAAAACAUAAAUUAAAAAAAAAGUAUGAUAAACCGAUUAACGAAAUUACAAUGAUAAUUUAAAGGCCUAGUUAUAUUAAAAACUCCAUUGGCGCUCCAUAUAUUUGUUGAAAACAAACCGCGACCGUAAUGAAGCGCGACCAAAGUAAGGCGAGACCGAAAUGAUCUGUAUUCAUGCCUAUGCCUAGCCCAUGCCUAGGCCUAUUUACUUUUUUAUUAUAAUAUUAAUUCUUGUUUGAGCUGUAGGUAACUGUUGACAGUGAAUCAAUUUAUAAGCCGUGAGGAAUUUGAAAAGCUUCGUGUAUUCAACCAAGAAAAUAUUAAAAGAUUGUUCCAGAAUGUGUUGCAUCCAUCAAUAGCAACAUAAAUUGACAGAGAUGUCUUGCAAAGUCUGAUCAGCCAAGAAUACAGCAGACCUGCCAACUCACCCGAUCCUGUCGGGUGUCACCCAAUAUUUAAACAAAUCUCCAGUUCUCCCGAUCGAAUGUAAUUUUCACCCGAUUUCACAGGCCAUCCCCCUCCCCAAAAAUACUCCGAUUUAUGCAUAAUUUGAUUGAUUUGAUCUUUAUUAUUCAAUGUAUUCGCCGCCUGCUCACUUUGCGGUGCAAUAAACAAGUAACCAUUUUCAAUUUGAAUGUCACCAUUAGCCAAUGACUUGUAGUGACGUGACUUUUUUGGUAUCUUGCAUCAUUUUUUGGGUAAUUCUGGAAACCUCCAGAUUUUUUGGUAAAUCUCCAGAUUUUUUUAAGAUUCUUAAAAAAAUCUCCAGAUUUUCAUGACCCAAGGGUUGGCAGGUCUGAUACACGGUGCAUCAGAUGUUGCAGACUUGAUGUGCGUAAGUCGUAGCACUGUAUUAAGAAGGUUUCAAAUGUACAAUUUGUCUGCUGUGCAAUAUAGUGACAUUGACAAUGAUACUUUAGAUGGGCACAUUGAGGAAAUAUUAAAGACACUUUCAAACUGUGGUGGGGUUAUAAUGAAGGGAUUUCUCCAUGAAAGAGGCAUUUUAGUUCCCAGGAAGGCUAUGAGAGAAGCAGUAUAUCAAUGAAGGCUUGGCAACACAACGUAAAAGGACUCUUCACAGACGAAUAUACAGUGUUGUGGGAUUAAUUUGUGGCACAUAGAUGGCAACCACAGAUUAAUAAGGUGGGGGUUUGUAAUCCACGGUGGUGUAGAUGGCUUUAGCAGACUGCCUGUUCAUUUAGAGUGUGCAACGAACAGAUCAUCAACUGCUUUGGCUGCUUUCCACAAAGGAGUAGAGAAGUAUGGAUUACCCAUUUGCGUGCGCACAGAUGCGGGAGGAGAAAAUGUUUGGAAUUUGGGAGUACAUGAGAGAAAUACAAGUUGAACUUUUACAGUCGAAUCCAAAAUGCCAUUGAAAAAUUCAAGUUCUUAAAAUUUGACUAACAGAUUGGUGAUAGGUCUGCUUUAGUUGGAAAAAGCACUCAUAAUCAGCGAAUUGAGAGACUUUGGAAGUAUGUUUUUGAGGGAUGUUUGCACCAUUAUUAUCAUCUUGAAGACGAAGGUGGUCUGGAUUAUUUAGAUGAAGUACUCAGCUCUUUGCUCUGCAGUAUGUGUUUAGACUGAGGAUUAAUGCAUCUCUACAGGAGUGGACAGCAGCUUGGAACAAUCAUCGAAUAUGUACAGUUGGACGAACACCUUUCCAGUUGUGGUUUUCAGGCCAUUUGGAGAAUUCCACAGUGUCUUCGAUAAUAUACCAGCAGAGGUAGGUGUCACUCUACAUAAUUAAGGGUUGUUAAAGUUAUAUAUAUAUUUAAAAACAAUUAUUUUAGCAUUGAUAUUUUCAAGUGAUCACAAGCUUCUUUUAGCGUAUAUUUACAAAUAAGUUAAUAAUUUUUAUGUUUUUUAGAGUGAAGCCCAUAAAGAAGAGGAGAAUGUAAAUCCUCAUGUUAUCGUUGAGGAGACCAGCAACCUGUUGCAUCAAAUUCAGUAUGAGAUGUUAUAUCAAGAAAUAGACCCUAUGAGAGAAAAUAUUGUUGGUUGCACAUGAUAAUUAGUUUGUCAGUUUCACAUGUAUCCUGUGAAAUUGAUUUGGUAA